Molecule: ribosomal RNA, 42 nt
Filed under: Zizaniopsis miliacea
Lineage: Eukaryota; Viridiplantae; Streptophyta; Magnoliopsida; Poales; Poaceae
Description: partial 25S ribosomal RNA
Source: RNAcentral
UCGGACCGCGAACCCAGUCAGCGGAACUACCCGCUGAAUUUA